Molecule: ribosomal RNA, 1528 nt
Filed under: Bacteroides fragilis
Lineage: Bacteria; Pseudomonadati; Bacteroidota; Bacteroidia; Bacteroidales; Bacteroidaceae
Description: bacterial SSU rRNA
Rfam family: Bacterial small subunit ribosomal RNA
Source: RNAcentral
ACAAUGAAGAGUUUGAUCCUGGCUCAGGAUGAACGCUAGCUACAGGCUUAACACAUGCAAGUCGAGGGGCAUCAGGAAGAAAGCUUGCUUUCUUUGCUGGCGACCGGCGCACGGGUGAGUAACACGUAUCCAACCUACCCUUUACUCGGGGAUAGCCUUUCGAAAGAAAGAUUAAUACCCGAUAGCAUAAUGAUUCCGCAUGGUUUCAUUAUUAAAGGAUUCCGGUAAAGGAUGGGGAUGCGUUCCAUUAGGUUGUUGGUGGGGUAACGGCCCACCAAGCCUUCGAUGGAUAGGGGUUCUGAGAGGAAGGUCCCCCACAUUGGAACUGAGACACGGUCCAAACUCCUACGGGAGGCAGCAGUGAGGAAUAUUGGUCAAUGGGCGCUAGCCUGAACCAGCCAAGUAGCGUGAAGGAUGAAGGCUCUAUGGGUCGUAAACUUCUUUUAUAUAAGAAUAAAGUGCAGUAUGUAUACUGUUUUGUAUGUAUUAUAUGAAUAAGGAUCGGCUAACUCCGUGCCAGCAGCCGCGGUAAUACGGAGGAUCCGAGCGUUAUCCGGAUUUAUUGGGUUUAAAGGGAGCGUAGGUGGACUGGUAAGUCAGUUGUGAAAGUUUGCGGCUCAACCGUAAAAUUGCAGUUGAUACUGUCAGUCUUGAGUACAGUAGAGGUGGGCGGAAUUCGUGGUGUAGCGGUGAAAUGCUUAGAUAUCACGAAGAACUCCGAUUGCGAAGGCAGCUCACUGGACUGCAACUGACACUGAUGCUCGAAAGUGUGGGUAUCAAACAGGAUUAGAUACCCUGGUAGUCCACACAGUAAACGAUGAAUACUCGCUGUUUGCGAUAUACAGUAAGCGGCCAAGCGAAAGCAUUAAGUAUUCCACCUGGGGAGUACGCCGGCAACGGUGAAACUCAAAGGAAUUGACGGGGGCCCGCACAAGCGGAGGAACAUGUGGUUUAAUUCGAUGAUACGCGAGGAACCUUACCCGGGCUUAAAUUGCAGUGGAAUGAUGUGGAAACAUGUCAGUGAGCAAUCACCGCUGUGAAGGUGCUGCAUGGUUGUCGUCAGCUCGUGCCGUGAGGUGUCGGCUUAAGUGCCAUAACGAGCGCAACCCUUAUCUUCAGUUACUAACAGGUCAUGCUGAGGACUCUGGAGAGACUGCCGUCGUAAGAUGUGAGGAAGGUGGGGAUGACGUCAAAUCAGCACGGCCCUUACGUCCGGGGCUACACACGUGUUACAAUGGGGGGUACAGAAGGCAGCUACCUGGUGACAGGAUGCUAAUCCCAAAAGCCUCUCUCAGUUCGGAUCGAAGUCUGCAACCCGACUUCGUGAAGCUGGAUUCGCUAGUAAUCGCGCAUCAGCCACGGCGCGGUGAAUACGUUCCGGGCCUUGUACACACCGCCCGUCAAGCCAUGGGAGCCUGGGGUACCUGAAGUACGUAACCGCAAGGAUCGUCCUAGGGUAAAACUGGUGACUGGGGCUAAGUCGUAACAAGGUAGCCGUACCGGAAGGUGCGGCUGGAACACCUCCUUU